CUAUGCACUCCUACGGGAGGCAGCAGUGGGGAAUAUUGCACAAUGGGCGCAAGCCUGAUGCAGCCAUGCCGCGUGUAUGAAGAAGGCCUUCGGGUUGUAAAGUACUUUCAGCAGUGAGGAAGGUGGAUAUGUUAAUAGCAUAUUCAUUUGACGUUAGCUGCAGAAGAAGCACCGGCUAACUCCGUGCCAGCAGCCGCGGUAAUACGGAGGGUGCGAGCGUUAAUCGGAAUUACUGGGCGUAAAGCGCAUGCAGGUGGUUUGUUAAGUCAGAUGUGAAAGCCCGGGGCUCAACCUCGGAAUUGCAUUUGAAACUGGCAAACUAGAGUACUGUAGAGGGGGUAGAAUUUCAGGUGUAGCGGUGAAAUGCGUAGAGAUCUGAAGGAAUACCGGUGGCGAAGGCGGCCCCCUGGACAGAUACUGACACUCAGAUGCGAAAGCGUGGGGAGCAAACAGGAUUAGAUACCCUGGUAG
This 471-nucleotide ribosomal RNA is filed under the name uncultured bacterium. RNAcentral describes it as "bacterial SSU rRNA". It matches the Rfam family "Bacterial small subunit ribosomal RNA", at positions 329 to 793 of the family's 1533-position model. The record is from RNAcentral.